GGAAAUAUAGUUUAAUUGGGAAAAUUUUUGAUUUGCAUUCAAGCGUUGCGGGUUCAAGUCCCGCUAUUUCCA
Molecule: transfer RNA, 72 nt
Filed under: Paulinella micropora
Lineage: Eukaryota; Cercozoa; Imbricatea; Euglyphida; Paulinellidae
Rfam family: tRNA
About the family: Transfer RNA (tRNA) molecules are approximately 80 nucleotides in length. Their secondary structure includes four short double-helical elements and three loops (D, anti-codon, and T loops).
Source: Rfam by way of RNAcentral